AUUGAACGCUGGCGGCAUGCUUUACACAUGCAAGUCGAACGGCAGCACGGGCUUCGGCCUGGUGGCGAGUGGCGAACGGGUGAGUAAUACAUCGGAACGUACCCAGUAGUGGGGGAUAGCCCGGCGAAAGCCGGAUUAAUACCGCAUAUGCCCUGAGGGGGAAAGCGGGGGACCGAAAGGCCUCGCGCUAUUGGAGCGGCCGAUGGCUGAUUAGCUAGUUGGUGGGGUAAAGGCCUACCAAGGCGACGAUCAGUAGCUGGUCUGAGAGGACGACCAGCCACACUGGGAGUGAGACACGGCCCAGACUCCUACGGGAGGCAGCAGUGGGGAAUUUUGGACAAUGGGGGCAACCCUGAUCCAGCAAUGCCGCGUGAGUGAAGAAGGCCUUCGGGUUGUAAAGCUCUUUUGUCAGGGAAGAAACACCGGCUCUAACACGGUCCGGGAAUGACGGUACCUGAAGAAUAAGCACCGGCUAACUACGUGCCAGCAGCCGCGGUAA
Molecule: ribosomal RNA, 499 nt
Filed under: uncultured bacterium
Lineage: Bacteria
Description: partial 16S ribosomal RNA
Rfam family: Bacterial small subunit ribosomal RNA
Source: RNAcentral